RNAcentral lists this small RNA (183 nucleotides) under Gopherus agassizii (Agassiz's desert tortoise). Its description in RNAcentral is "TUC338 (ENSGAGG00000004019.1)". The record is from RNAcentral. Lineage: Eukaryota; Metazoa; Chordata; Testudines; Testudinidae.
AUAAGAGCACAGUCUUUUUUUUUUUUUAAUCCACAGAACUGUACCGGCUUUGGGAGCUGCAGAGCAGGUUCCCCUGCACUGCACCACCCUGGCCAUGUGCCUCACCGCUGUCCUGAAGAGACUCGCCACCUCAGAGGUGAAUGGAGAGUUAAAUUUCCAUGGCCCAUUCAUUCCUUGGCCUCU